This 174-nucleotide ribosomal RNA is filed under the name Prismatopus harmandi. RNAcentral describes it as "partial 16S ribosomal RNA". Lineage: Eukaryota; Metazoa; Arthropoda; Malacostraca; Decapoda; Majidae. The record is from RNAcentral.
GCUUUAUAAAUUAGUAAAAUUUUGUUAAAAAUUUUUUAUAAAUCAUUGUUUUAUUGUUUUAUUUUAUUGGGGUGAUAUAAAUAUAAAUUUAUUUAACUGUUUAAUAAUUGUAUUACAAUGUAUAUGAGUGUUUUAAAGUUAAUUGAUCCUUUAUAAAGAUUUAAAAUCUAAGUU